UGUAAGCGUAUACCAAAGUUGUUGCAGUUAAAACGCUCGUAGUCGGAAUUUGGCAGUUCCGGAUGUGUGCACGUCGUGUGCGCACUUCGCGGGGAUUGCUUUUGUGGUCUUGCGUAGGAUGAGGCACUUUUAUUAGUGAACGUCCUCACGCAACCACUUUUUACUGUGAGAAAAUCAGAGUGCUCAAAGCAGGCAUUUGCCGUGAAUGUAUUAGCAUGGAAUAAUAGAAUAGGACUUGGUUCUAUUUUGUUGGUUUGUUGGGACUGAGUAAUGAUUAAGAGGGACAGUUGGAGGCAUUUGUAUUUCGGUGCUAGAGGUGAAAUUCUUAGAUUACCGAAAGACAAACUGCUGCGAAAGCGUCUGCCAAGGAUGUUUUCAUUGA
This 382-nucleotide ribosomal RNA is filed under the name uncultured eukaryote. RNAcentral describes it as "partial 18S ribosomal RNA". It matches the Rfam family "Eukaryotic small subunit ribosomal RNA", at positions 592 to 976 of the family's 1831-position model. The record is from RNAcentral.